GGCCUGUUAGCUCAGUCGGUUAGAGCGUGGUGCUAAUAACGCCAAGGUCGUGGGUUCGAUCCCCAUACGGGCCA
Molecule: transfer RNA, 74 nt
Filed under: Tursiops truncatus (common bottlenose dolphin)
Lineage: Eukaryota; Metazoa; Chordata; Mammalia; Artiodactyla; Delphinidae
Also listed under: 2 other names
Description: tRNA-Ile (AAT) (tRNA-Ile-AAT-3-1)
Rfam family: tRNA
About the family: Transfer RNA (tRNA) molecules are approximately 80 nucleotides in length. Their secondary structure includes four short double-helical elements and three loops (D, anti-codon, and T loops).
Source: Rfam by way of RNAcentral